Molecule: ribosomal RNA, 305 nt
Filed under: uncultured bacterium
Lineage: Bacteria
Description: bacterial SSU rRNA
Rfam family: Bacterial small subunit ribosomal RNA
Source: RNAcentral
UUCUGCCUACGGGACGCAGCAGCCGCGGUAAUACGGAGGAUGCGAGCGUUAUCCGGAUUUAUUGGGUUUAAAGGGUGCGCAGGCGGAAUGUCAAGUCAGCGGUAAAAUUUCGGGGCUCAACCCCGUCGUGCCGUUGAAACUGGCGUUCUUGAGUGAGCGAGAAGUAUGCGGAAUGCGUGGUGUAGCGGUGAAAUGCAUAGAUAUCACGCAGAACUCCGAUUGCGAAGGCAGCAUACCGGCGCUCAACUGACGCUCAUGCACGAAAGCGUGGGUAUCGAACAGGAUUAGAUACCCCAGUAGUCCGC